RNAcentral lists this ribosomal RNA (495 nucleotides) under uncultured bacterium. Its description in RNAcentral is "partial 16S ribosomal RNA". It matches the Rfam family "Bacterial small subunit ribosomal RNA", at positions 29 to 523 of the family's 1533-position model. The record is from RNAcentral.
UUGAACGCUGGCGGCAGGCCUAACACAUGCAAGUCGAGCGGCAGCGCGGGGCAACCUGGCGGCGAGCGGCGGACGGGUGAGUAACGCGUAGGAAUCUACCCAGUAGCGGGGGAUAGCCCGGGGAAACUCGGAUUAAUACCGCAUACGCCCUAAGGGGGAAAGCGGGGUCGCAAGACCUCGCACUAUUGGAAGAGCCUGCGUUGGAUUAGCUAGUUGGUAGGGUAAAGGCCUACCAAGGCAACGAUCCAUAACUGGUCUGAGAGGAUGAUCAGUCACACCGGAACUGAGACACGGUCCGGACUCCUACGGGAGGCAGCAGUGGGGAAUAUUGGACAAUGGGGGCAACCCUGAUCCAGCCAUGCCGCGUGUGUGAAGAAGGCCUUCGGGUUGUAAAGCACUUUAAGUGGGGAGAAAGGUUCGUCGGUUAAUACCCGGCGGAAUUGAUGUUACCCACAGAAUAAGCACCGGCUAACUCUGUGCCAGCAGCCGCGGUAA